CGAGCACGCGCGUGUGGCAUAUCAAUAAGCGGAGGAAAAGAAACUAACAAGGAUUCCCUUAGUAACGGCGAGUGAAGCGGGAAGAGCUCAAAUUUGAAAUCUUCAAGGUUCUACCUUGACGAAUUGUAGUUUAUAGAAGUGUUUUCUGUUAGUGGAGUGGCAAAAGUUCUUUGGAAUAGGACAUCACUAGAGGGUGAGAAUCCCGUAUUUGGUCAUUCCUCCUAGCGUUGUGAUACACUUUCAACGAGUCGGAUUGUUUGGGAAUGCAGUCCAAAAUGGGUGGUAAAUUUCAUCUAAAGCUAAAUAUUGGCGAGAGACCGAUAGCGAACAAGUACCGUGAGGGAAAGAUGAAAAGAACUUUGAAAAGAGAGUUAAACAGUACGUGAAAUUGUCAAAAGGGAAGCGUUUGACACCAGUGUUGUUUAGUUGAAAAUCAAUUCAAUAAUUUUUGAUUUUAAGUAGUAUUGACUUCAUCAGCUUGCUGCUUUCUUUUCAGGAAUUAUUGAAUGCACUUUUCAGUUAACAAGUCAACAUCAAUUUCUUUUGUUGUAAAAGGGUAAGAGGAAGGUGGCUUACGUUUCGGCGUAAGUGUUUAUAGCCUUUUACCUCUGCAAUCGGAGAGAUUGAGGACAGCAGCGUAGACUCCUUCUGGGGUUAGAUACACUUGUGUUAAGCUAUAGCCUUGUAUAGACAACUUGUUGACUAUGCUCAGUCAUGUAGCUUACUCGCUUGUGCUAUUUUACCUACGCUUAGGAUGUUGAGCGCAUGUCUCUCUCU
RNAcentral lists this ribosomal RNA (777 nucleotides) under uncultured Neocallimastigales. Its description in RNAcentral is "partial large subunit ribosomal RNA". It matches the Rfam family "Eukaryotic large subunit ribosomal RNA", at positions 19 to 616 of the family's 3401-position model. The record is from RNAcentral. Lineage: Eukaryota; Fungi; Neocallimastigomycota; Neocallimastigomycetes; Neocallimastigales.